UGUUCUUUGCUUAGCUUUGAUAUAUAUGUUGAUCUAUAUCAGUUGCUUAAAAUUGCCUAUUUUCAAUUGUUUUUUGCAGGUAAUCAGUGGCAUUAAGAAGGGGAGCAACUGUGGUUCUGUUUUGGUGCACUCGAGAAGCAUUUCUCCUACCUAGAUCCCGGGUGCUUUGCAGUUUUUGCAGCUUGGAGAAAGCAGCGUUGCAUGCUUCGGGUGUACUGCGCAGGAUAGGGAAGCACUUAUUCUUGAGGGACAACAACAAUGAAAAACCUCCUCUUCUGUUGCUCCAGAUGACCGAAGAUUUUGAUGAGCUUAAGUUCAUGUGAAGUUCCUUUGAGAUGGUGGUGUGGUAAGUUAGGUGGUGUUGUGGCUCCGUUGAGAUUACAGUGGUGUUACACCAUGAAUAGAAAUUCGGUGAAAAUCCCCUUUUUUUUUUUUUUUUUUUGAGUUGGGCUCAAAACAUUAUGUAUGAAGAUUUUGGAUGAUAAUGUAUGAUUAUUGUGUGAUUAUAAUAUUUUGAAUGUUAUAUAUUA
This is a long non-coding RNA of Salvia miltiorrhiza (redroot sage), 530 nucleotides long. RefSeq lists it as uncharacterized. The transcript is spliced from 2 exons. The record is from RefSeq and is a predicted model, not a curated record. Lineage: Eukaryota; Viridiplantae; Streptophyta; Magnoliopsida; Lamiales; Lamiaceae.